UCAUAUGCUUGUCUCAAAGAUUAAGCCAUGCAUGUCUAAGUAUAAGCAAUUAUACGGCGAAACUGCGAAUGGCUCAUUAUAUAAGUUAUCGUUUAUUUGAUAGCACCUUACUACUUGGAUAACCGUGGUAAUUCUAGAGCUAAUACAUGCUAAAAAUCCCGACUUCGGAAGGGAUGUAUUUAUUAGAUUAAAAACCAAUGCCCUCUGGGCUCUCUGGUGAUUCAUGAUAACUUCUCGAAUCGCAUGGCCUUGCGCCGGCGAUGGUUCAUUCAAAUUUCUUCCCUAUCAACUUUCGAUGUUUGGGUAGUGGCCAAACAUGGUUGCAACGGGUAACGGAGGGUUAGGGCUCGACCCCGGAGAAGGAGCCUGAGAAACGGCUACUACAUCCAAGGAAGGCAGCAGGCGCGCAAAUUACCCAAUCCCGACACGGGGAGGUAGUGACAAUAAAUACUGAUACAGGGCUCUUUUGGGUCUUGUAAUUGGAAUGAGUACAAUUUAAAUCCCUUAACGAGGAACAAUUGGAGGGCAAGUCUGGUGCCAGCAGCCGCGGUAAUUCCAGCUCCAAUAGCGUAUAUUAAAGUUGUUGUGGUUAAAAAGCUCGUAGUUGAACCUUGGGCCUGGCUGGCCGGUCCGCCUCACCGCGUGCACUGGUCCGGCCGGGCCUUUCCCUCUGUGGAACCCCAUGCCCUUCACUGGGUGUGGCGGGGAAACAGGACUUUUACUUUGAAAAAAUUAGAGUGCUCCAGGCAGGCCUAUGCUCGAAUACAUUAGCAUGGAAUAAUGAAAUAGGACGUGCGGUUCUAUUUUGUUGGUUUCUAGGACCGCCGUAAUGAUUAAUAGGGACAGUCGGGGGCAUCAGUAUUCAAUUGUCAGAGGUGAAAUUCUUGGAUUUAUUGAAGACUAACUACUGCGAAAGCAUUUGCCAAGGAUGUUUUCAUUAAUCAGGAACGAAAGUUAGGGGAUCGAAGACGAUCAGAUACCGUCGUAGUCUUAACCAUAAACUAUGCCGACUAGGGAUCGGACGAUGUUAUUUUUUGACUCGUUCGGCACCUUACGAGAAAUCAAAGUGCUUGGGCUCCAGGGGGAG
This 1087-nucleotide ribosomal RNA is filed under the name Purpureocillium takamizusanense. RNAcentral's name for it is "SSU rRNA". It matches the Rfam family "Eukaryotic small subunit ribosomal RNA", at positions 24 to 1123 of the family's 1831-position model. The record is from RNAcentral. Lineage: Eukaryota; Fungi; Ascomycota; Sordariomycetes; Hypocreales; Ophiocordycipitaceae.